GACGAACGCUGGCGGCGUGCUUAACACAUGCAAGUCGAACGGAAAGGCCCUGCUUUUGUGGGGUGCUCGAGUGGCGAACGGGUGAGUAACACGUGAGUAACCUGCCCUUGACUUUGGUAUAACUUCAGGAAACUGGGGCUAAUACCGGAUAGGAGCUCCUGCUGCAUGGUGGGUUUUGGAAAGUUUCGGCGGUUGGGGAUGGACUCGCGGCUUAUCCGCUUGUUGGUGGGGUAGUGGCUUACCAAGGCUUUGACGGGUAGCCGGCCUGAGAGGGUGACCGGCCACAUUGGGACUGAGAUACGGCCCAGACUCCUACGGGAGGAAGAAGUGGGGAAUAUUGAAAAAUGGGCGGAGGCCUGAUGCAGCAACGCCGCGGGCGGGAUGACGGCCUUCGGGUUGUAAACCGCUUUCGCCUGUGACGAAGCGUGAGUGACGGUAAUGGGUAAAGAAGCACCGGCUAACUACGUG
This 468-nucleotide ribosomal RNA is filed under the name uncultured bacterium. Its description in RNAcentral is "partial 16S ribosomal RNA". It matches the Rfam family "Bacterial small subunit ribosomal RNA", at positions 28 to 507 of the family's 1533-position model. The record is from RNAcentral.